CCACAGUUCCUACUCGAUCAAAGAUUUUGAAUGACCCAAUUAAUCGAGGAUUGAGCUUUCCUCUCUUUCAAAAUCUUGCAACUCCUUUCCAUGGAGCAACACGUAACAACACAUAAUCUCCAACAUUGAACUCCACGUCCUUUCGAUGAAGAUCAGCAUAACUCUUUUGUCGAUCUUGUGAGGUUUUUAUACGUUGUUGGAUCAUUUGAAUCUUUUUCGUAG
Molecule: long non-coding RNA, 222 nt
Filed under: Panax ginseng (ginseng)
Lineage: Eukaryota; Viridiplantae; Streptophyta; Magnoliopsida; Apiales; Araliaceae
Description: long non-coding RNA (PGIN_LNC018221)
Source: RNAcentral